GAUGAACGCUGGCGGCGUGCCUAAUACAUGCAAGUCGAGCGAACAGACGAGGAGCUUGCUCCUCUGACGUUAGCGGCGGACGGGUGAGUAACACGUGGAUAACCUACCUAUAAGACUGGGAUAACUUUGGGAAACCGGAGCUAAUACCGGAUAAUAUAUUGAACCGCAUGGUUCAAUAGUGAAAGACGGUUUUGCUGUCACUUAUAGAUGGAUCCGCGCCGCAUUAGCUAGUUGGUAAGGUAACGGCUUACCAAGGCAACGAUGCGUAGCCGACCUGAGAGGGUGAUCGGCCACACUGGAACUGAGACACGGUCCAGACUCCUACGGGGGGCAGCAGUAGGGAAUCUUCCGCAAUGGGCGAAAGCCUGACGGAGCAACGCCGCGUGAGUGAUGAAGGUCUUCGGAUCGUAAAACUCUGUUAUUAGGGAAGAACAAAUGUGUAAGUAACUAUGCACGUCUUGACGGUACCUAAUCAGAAAGCCACGGCUAACUACGUG
RNAcentral lists this ribosomal RNA (497 nucleotides) under uncultured bacterium. RNAcentral describes it as "partial 16S ribosomal RNA". It matches the Rfam family "Bacterial small subunit ribosomal RNA", at positions 28 to 507 of the family's 1533-position model. The record is from RNAcentral.